RNAcentral lists this long non-coding RNA (27421 nucleotides) under Marmota monax (woodchuck). The record is from RNAcentral. Lineage: Eukaryota; Metazoa; Chordata; Mammalia; Rodentia; Sciuridae.
GAGAAACAUUGCAAACAUGACUUCAGCUGCCAAAAAUAAUAAAGUCGUUUGCGAGCAGCUCUUCCUAUAUCUAAGGAAGAACUAACCACACGUGUGAGUUUUUGCUGGCUUAGGAAGAAGGAACAAGGAAAAUGACAAAUCCCACCCACCCCACCCUAAAAUGCGCAGGGAGUAUCAGAAUCCUGUGGGAAGCUGUGGCCCAUUCCAAAAGGUGCUGGCAAUGUUGAGGAAGACUCAUAUCCACAAAAUUCCAAAUGGUAAGUGACCCAGGACAAAGGGAUUUUAUUUGGCAGCUAAUCUGUGUUGUCACUUUCCCUGCAUAGCCAAGCUGCACUGUCUUGUGAAGGCAGAGCUGUUAAAUACCUCUUAGUCAACAGUCCUGACCCAAAUCUUCCUUUUUUUUUUCUUUUUUAAAUUUUAUCUGGCAUCUUCCCUUAAAGAAUCUUCAGGGUUCUGAAGGGAAUAUUCACAAAUAAUCCUUUAGAUAAGUUUCAUCACAAAAGCCCUGCACCUACCUCUGUCAAGUCUUAGCUGCUCAGUCUGCAUGGGCUGGAUGUGAAAAAAGAUCCGGUGUGAUGGCUUCUCCAAAUUUACCAGAAAGGACGGACCUGGGAUGCUUGUCCUUUAAGUGUCUCUAAGCAUGGUUUGCAUAGCUGGAUCUCAGCUUAUCUGUGCCUUUCGGCUUUCUCUUCCAUACAUGGAUCUGUUCCCAACAGUAACUCCAAGCUGUCGAAAAGAAGCUAUCUGGCAGCUCUCCGCUUCAUCCAACACAUGGAUGAUAAAAAUACACAUAUAGAGAUCUUUCCAGCCAGACCCAUUCCCUACCCCGUGAUCCUGCCACUAUGCGUUUUUGCAAAUACACUUUGGAGAUUGGCAUUUCUACUCUCCAGAUUUUAGGAGCACAGCCAAUUUCUACCUCAUUUCCACAUAAAGCUUUUAGGGUGUGGGUUUGUUUAGAUUUAGGAAAAUAGAGACAUAACUAUGGUUCAUUCUUGAAUCUUUUAGUAAUAGGAUGUUUAUGGGACCUGAGAAAUGUUUAGUGAAUGAAUCAAUUUGUAGAUGAAUGGCUGAAUAAAUGGGUAACAUUGUAUGUGAAUGAAUAAAUGUAUGCGGAAUGUAUUUAUUUAAUUGGGAAUGGUUGUUAACACCCUAUGUCAUUUGUCUUAAAGAAAAAAGUAGCAGAGGGUCAAAGUAAUCAAGAUCUGUAACAGAGGAGAGGCAGGUUCUUACUUAAACAGCUUCUUGUUGAGGCUACUGUGUGAAUCCCAUUAAGCUAUUCUCUAGUGCAUCCUUUGAAAUUCAGAAAACUUUUCUUUAAUGCUAAAGACUAUAUACCUGAACAGAAUACUAAUUGUUACAUUUGUUCAUUAUCAGUGAUAGUUUAAAUGAUACCUAUUGUACCCUAAUUCUUAAGCAGGGAAUAAAUCCUGCUCUGCAGAGGAAGAGGUACUCCAUGAGAGGGUUGCGUAACUUUCCAGUUUUUUUUAUUUUUAUUUUUUCAAUUUACCAUUUGCUUUAAAAGUUUUUCUUUCUUUUUCAAUUUGUUGUUACUCUUUCAUAACAAGAGGUCACAAUAUUGAGAGGGGGAAAUAGGAAGAGAGAAUUUCCCAGUAAUGAUUUUCCAUUGAUUAAUUAUUUUUUAAAAUCAUGUUAAAACAUGAUUUAACUUUGUUCUCUUGUUUGAGGAAAUAAAAAUAAAAUUGAGGCAUACGGGCAUAAUUUAUUUUAGUAUAUUGAUAAUGAAAUCAGUUUGCUUAAAAUACUCCAGAGGAAAAGGGGAGGGAGUAGAUCAAGGAUGAAGCAAGAUUGGCAAAAUGAUAAUUGUUAAAGUGGUGGUAGGUGUAUGGGGAUUCAUUAGAUUAUUUUCUCUCUUUUUAAAAAUUUAUUAAAAUUUUUAAGAAAAGUAGUGAAAAGAUUACCAAAAAUAUGUGUUAAUAGAAAAUAAGUACAAAACAGACACAUUAAGAGCAAAUUUGAGGAAUCUGAAAGUUGAGCAAUCUCUGUUGGAAAGAAGAUCAGAACAACCAGAACAAAAAAGGUGAGAAUAUGCUUUUUUAAAUUCAAAAUAUUAUGAUAUUCUGAUUUCCUCCUCCCUGCUCCCCAUCAGAACUAUUCUGUAUAUUAUAUUAUAUCUAAGGAAAAUUAAGAUGUGAUUGUUUAACAAGCCAACCUCAUAUAGUCUCAUGCUAAACAUGGUCAGGAGACAUUCAAUACCCCUCCUUUUUUUGCCUUUUUUCUAUUUUUUAAGUCCAAAUGCUAGACAUUUAUUUUAUUGUGCCUUAUAGCCAGGAAUGACCGUGCAAGAGUGGCCUGACUAUGCAGGUGUCAACAUGAGUCGGAGGGAAGUUUUUAUUCAUCUGCCAAAUGCGGACAGGCUGAGCAUUUGCUCGUCUUAUUCCUGAACUCUUCUCACCUAUUUCAUUCCCACAGAGCAAACUUGAAGCCAUAUGAAGGGGGAGAAAACCCUCAUAUUUAAUACAAAAUCCAAUUCUAUAUUAUGAGCUCAGGACUCAAAUUAAAAGACUAUGUCUGGUUCUUGCUUUACUUACUAGGUGUAUAUUGUUGAGCACGUCACAGAUCAAUGUUUCCUCCUCAGUCAAGCGAACACUUGAUCUCCUUAGCAUAGACUUAUCCUAUGAAAGAAUGCAGGUGAUGCAUCUUCAUACAUCAUAAGGAAUGAUAUCAAUGUAAGGUAUUGACUAUUUAAUAUAUGAGGUAGUCAAUACAUAAGACCCACAGUGACUCCACAGCUAAAUAUAACAGGGCUCUGGAGUCUGGAGUCUGCUUUCUGUUCAGAGAAGAAUUUGCAGACACUUUGAUUGGCUUAAUUUCAAACCUCUUGGGAAUUCUGCUCUGCAGUUAGGAAAAUCCAAGGUAUGGGGGGUUUGUAUAUUCCCAAUUGUGUUUGUGCAGUUUGGGGUUAACAAAUGAGGUUGGCCUGUUCUUAGUAAUGUUUGCUGUGGAAGUGGGCCGGUUUCCCCCUUCUCAGAUAGGCAGUACUCCAGGGAAAGAGAAGGCUCCAGAGACUCAUUUCUAUUCUUCUCUUUCCCAGCUGUGGAGAAUGUGUGGGGUUCAUGUAUAGGAAAAGAUCUUCAGAUAAAGAGGUUAAAAUCUUAUCAUGUUUCCAGAGAAACAGGUCAGAUGGUUUCCUGUGAGCCUUGUAAAUGUGGAAAUCAGGAUUUUAAUUUAUAGACAUCUAUUUUCCUAACUCCGAGGGGGAAGAAUAGAGUACAGUUAUCUGGGCACAUGCAAUUUCCUGUGGGCACUUGGCUGUGACUCUCAAUGGAAUAUUCUGCACCUUCACUCAAAAAGAUAUGCACACAGCUUGCACGGUGGUGCAUGCUUGUAAUCCCAGUAGCUUGGGAGGCUGAGGCAGGAGGAUCCUGAGUUCAAAGACAGCCUUAGCAAUUUAGCAAGGUCCUAAGCAACUUAGUGAGAACUUGUCUCAAAAUAAAAUUUAAAAAAUAAAAUAAAAUAAAAUAAAAAAAUUUAAAAAAGGGCUGAGGAUGUGGCUCAAUGGUUAGGUGCCCCAGAGUUCAACCCCCAGUAUCAGAAAAAACAACAACAAGUAUAUGCUCACAUCCACACCCAUUUCAACUGAACCAGAAGAACACGUUCUGAGUCUUUUGCCCUAGCUCAGUAUCUCUUUUUUUGCCUGAAGUUUUUUACUAACCUCACCAUCAAGCAUUCUAAAGGAGGGAUUAUGUUUGACCCCACGUCUCUCUGCUUUGGGACAUUCAAUUGUGAACUUCUGGAGGAUGGAGGCUUUGGGCUAUUUGUUUUUUUAAAUCCCCAGUAUCCAUCAGUAUUUGUCAUAUAGUAAACAAACCUUAAGAUAAGUUUGUUGAUGAAUUAAAUGUGCUGCUAAGUGAGUGAAAAAUGGGUAAAUGGUAUUUAACUCUGAAUUAGUAACCAUUAUUUUGGCAGAUGUCCCAUUGUAUAAGGUAGAAGAACCUCAAAUACCCUACUCUUUACCUGGAUAAAGACUCAACUUACUUUUUCCUCUCUAGCUUUCACUUGAAAAGAAAAAGAUCAGUAGAGUGGAGGGAGAUGAUUAAGGGAGAGAGAGGAAGGGAGGGUAAGGGGAAAAAGGGAAAUAAAAUCAACCAAAUUAUGCUAUUAUUUUUGUUUGAAUAUAUGACAGUGAAUUCAUAUAUUUGAUGAAAAAUUAUAAUGCACCAAUGGGAGAAUGUGUUUAAAUAAAUACAUGGAAAAGUAGAAGAGUAGAGGAAGUGGAAUGAGGGAAGGGAGGUGGAAGGGAAAAUUAUGUUACUGGGGAAUUCAUUGGAACAAAUUACAUUCUGUGCAUAUAUGAACGUGUCACAAUGGACCCCACUCCUAUGUAUAAUUAUAAUGUACUAAGAAAAGCAUAAAAAGACUCAACUCAAGAUAGUUAAGAAAAAGAACAUACAAAAAUAUGAACAACAUCCCGGGAUAGCCAGGCAGUUUACCUUAGAUUUUCGGUUACUCAAGGAAGUGGGCCAUGAUGUUAGCCUGGGUCAUCUGAAAUGGAUGCCUGACACAAAUUGUUGGUAGGGAAGAAAGAAGGGAGGACUGGAAUAUUUUAAAAGAUCACAGAUAUUCAAUUCUUGGUGAUUUAAGUUUUUUCUUCCUUUUUAGAGAAUAUGGGGGAAAUCUUUUAUAAAAGACUUGGUGAGGCAUACAUCAAGUUUUUAGGCAAACAAAUAGGGAUACAUCUGCUUUCAAGAUUAAAAGCAAUUAUAUUUAACAAAUAAGCAGAUAUUCAAGUAAAUGAUUCCUAUGCAUAUGUUUAUUCUGAAUUUACCAAGUCAGAAUCUUAUAAGUAAGGGGCUAAAUUUAGGGAUGAGGGAAUACAUCUCCAGGUUGCGGGUCUUGGUUGUAUGAAGAAAUAAAAUUCAUGACUAGAAACGAGAAAAAGAGAUUAAGCAAGGCUCCUACUUACCACUGCAGGACUAGCUCCAAACCUUACCCCUUGAAGGUUUUCUUAAUCUGUCUCCAGAACCAUUGACAAAGGAAAUUUAAGAUUUUUUUCUCAGCUGGGUUCCCUUAGCACAAUGCCUUAUGUUAUACAUUGAAAUGUCUUCUUUCUCAUUGUAAUUGUUAGAAGACCUUGUGAAGAAUUGCAAUUAAUUUUUCUUGAAAUGUUUGGUAGAAUUCAUUGGUGAAGUCAUCUGGGUCUUGGAGUUGUUUUAAUGGACAGCUUUUGUUUACAAAUUCAAUCUCUUUACUUAUUAUAAGUCAAUUCAAAUUAUUCUAGCGUCAGUUGUAUCUUUCUAGGAUUUUGUCCGUUUCAUUAGUUAUCUAACUUGUUAGCAUAUAAUUGUCUAUAGUAUUCUUUUAAUUUCUGCAAGAGAACACCAAUGUACUUUGGGGUUUGUUAUAUUUAAUAGACAUAAUGCAUACAACAACAGACCCCAUAGUAAGAGGAAAAAGGAAUAUAAUUUUAUCAAAUUUAUCAAAAUUGGCAUCAGAGUAAAACUAGUCUAAUUGUAGUGAUAUGUAUUUUAGUCUCUCUACCCUUACUUUUGUAUUCUUAUUGUUAUACAUGUUACGUCUAUACUGUGUAUAUGUAAAUUAUAUAUUCAAAUUUUUGCAUUGAUAGUGUCUAUUGUGAUUACACAAUUACUUUUUUUUAAAGAGAGAGAGAGAAUUUUUUUAAUAUUUAUUUUUAUUUAGUUUUUGGUGGACACAAUAUCUUUAUUUUAUUUUUAUGUGGUGCUGAGGAUCAAAUCCAGUGCUCUGCACAUGCCAGGCGAGCGUGCUACUGCUUGAGCCACAUGCCCCCAGCCCCACAAUUACUUGUUCACAUUAUGUUCUGGUGUCACUUGCUUUCAGAUUAAAGAAUUUCUGUUAGUAUUUCUCAUAAGGUAAGUCUGCUAGAAAUAAAUUUUCUCCAUUUCUGCUCAUCUGUAAAAAUAUUUUCAUUUUCCUUUAAAAGUUAGCUUUCCUGAUUAUAGGAUUCUUGAUUGACAGUCUUUUCUUUGAACAAUUUUCAUGUGCUGUCCCACUGCCAUCUAGCUCUAUUGUUUGCACUGACAAAUUGACUGUUAAUCUUACUGACAGUCUCUUCUCAGUGAUACAUUGUUUUUCUCUUGGCACUUUCAAGAGGAGCCCCCAUUUUUUACUUUCAGGAUUUUUUCAUGAUGUGUUGAUUUGUGGAACUCUUUACCCUUACUCUAAUUUGAGUUCAUUGAGGUUAUUGUUUGUUGAUAAAUUUGAGAAAUUUCAAUCACUAUAUCUUCAAAUGUAUUUUCUUCUCUUUUCUCUCUCUCUCUUCUCUUUCUGAUACUCCCAUCAUGUGUAUGUUUGUACAUUAAUGAUAAACCACAGUUCUCUGAAGCUCUGUUCACUUUUCCUAUGUUCUUCAUUUAUAUUAUUUCCAGUGGUCUAUUUUCAGGUUCAUUAAAUAUUUCCUCUAGUUCAAAUCUAGCUUUGUGCUCUUCUAAUGAAAUUUUAAUUUUAGUGAUCAUUCUACUGCUUCAGAAUUACCAUUUGGCUCUUAUUAAUAAUUUGUUUGAUAUUUUUUCUGACCCCAGAAGCAUUCAUCGCAGCUGUCUUAUUGCCCAUUUUUUUUUCUCCUGUAGAUUACCUGAACUACAGACUAGGCUAUAUCUUAAUAAGAUGAUCAUGAACCUCCUUCCAAUCUCCUUUCACUAAAAACUCCACUGUUCUUGAGAAUACCCUUAAGCUUAAGUUGCUUCAUUCUCAGUAGAAAAUGAAGUGUCAUUUCCUCUGAAAAAAAAAUUAGAGCCAUCUGUUUUACGGCUUGCUUCUCUUCUCAGGAAAAUUUUCUAAGUGAACACUCUGAAGCUGAGCACGGGAAUAAUAAUAUCAAGAAUCUCUCUAAGUCACUCAUGUUUUAGCAAUGGAGAAACUGGUGGAGGGAGAGGGACUCCAUCCUGAGGCCCCUCGAAUUGUUUCUUCUGUUACAGAAUAAUCACCGUUUCAAGAGCAGGGGUAGGGGCAGGGGCUAUUAGGGUCUCAGUAUUCUUAGCAGGUAAAUCCUCUAUUUUAAGGGUAGUGAUUGGGAAGGGAGUCGGCAACUCACUCUUGAUUAUACUUGCUCAGGACUUAGCCUCAGCAACAGGCCGUUAGCAACUAGAUGAUAAACACUGAAGUCUUGCUGCUCCCCAAAAGAACAUGUUUCAGUUGGAGCAUAGAGAAGCAGAAGCCCUGAAUUCUUGGUUCCAGAAGUCUGGAGUAGAAAUUCUACCUUGCUGAGCUGGGAAAGGAAAAAGAGAGGAAGCAUUCUUGAUUCAGAUACCAAAGACUCUUGCCUUUCUUACUGGAUUUUCAUGAAUUGAUAUUUCUCCAUUUGCCGUCUGCCCUUAAAAUAAUUUCACAGUCUUGACUUAUUAAAAAGCAAAGCAAAACAUAACAACAACAAUAGCAACAAAACCUUUGACCAGUUUCUCUGGAGAGUGAAUCAGAGAAGCUCCAAAUGUUGUCAUGCCAGAACUUGAUCAUGCCCAGAUGUCUUUCAUAACCCAUAUCAGGCUGUAAUGUGGUUUAAGAGCCUCAAGGGCAUAAAGCAUUUCUUUUUCACCUUCUGAUCUUAGAGUCUAGGAAUCUCUGGUGUGCAUGAGAUACUCAAUUAAAUUUUGCUGAAUUACAUUUUGAAAAGCUUAAACAUGACUUUAUUUUUACAUUUUGAAGUCUUCAAAGAGGUUGUACUUUCACUACUUAAUUAUGUCACCAAAGAUUAUUUCAGUUUAUAAUCUAGAGUAUAAAAUCAGAAAAUUAAAAUUAUUUACCCAUCAAUCCACAGAAAGUUGGUUUCCUCAUUUAAGAUAUCAUGAGGCAGAAAAAUCUGUCUCAUAACUACCAGGAAUGCCAGUACUUGCUUUAAUUAUAAAGGGCUGAAAUUUGAUCUCCCCCAAUUCCCAAAAGUAUAAGAAAAAAACAUUUUCUACUUCUCUUGGUAUUAUUGCUGCUCAGGUGAAGUUAGCCAACCCCUCAAGCUGAAAGCAAGCAGCUUUUCCUUAAAGAGUCCACUAAUCUAAAAGUAUCUUUUCUCUUGUUACUGAUGUAUUUCUACAAUUUGCAGUUGUCAACAUUGCUUCAAAAUAGGAUGGAGAAUGUAACCAGAAAGUCUUAAAACCAGCAGUUCCACUCAAUCCAGGUAAAAUGAUUACAGUACUACUUGAUGAAGAAAAUUGAAGUAAUGAUUUAUUUUGGCCCAAAUUUACCAUUUAUCCACCUUACAAGUGAAGCGAACAGAUGGCUGGUUAAGAUUGAGCAAAAGAGACACAGGUGUUCAGAUCCCACAGCUGUCCUCAAGACCACAUGAGGAAAUAAAGUAGCAAGGAUCAUUAUCACAUCAGCCCUCCAGUUUUACAAUGGGCAAUUAACUUUUGAGAGUUAUCCUAUUUCCAGGCUACUGUGCUCACUUCUGUCAGUUUAAGUUCCCAAGGCCAUGCUUUUAUCAAUUUCUUUCACCUACCCUGACACAGUUAUUUUUUCCUUCUAUGAAUUUUUGCUUUAAUUCUUGCUUUUGUAAAAAAAAAGUAAGAAAGAAAGAAAGAAGAAAGAAAGAAAAGAAAAGUUGUAAACGUUGUAUUAUUUCUUGUUACUUUUUUUUUUGGUGGGGGGAGGGUACUGGUGAUUGAAUGGAGCCUCACACAUGCUAGGCAAGUUCUGUACCACUGAGCCAUAUCCCAGAGAGAUUCUAAGGUCUCUGUACAAGAUUCAUACUCAUUUUAAAACCUUGAGAUAUUUAUCCUGAUGUAUUUGUAAUGUGAUGAUAGGUACAUAAUAAAUAUUUACAUUAUGCACUGAAUGAAUCUAAUGAUGACAUAAGAUAUAUACAAUUUUAUAUUGCAAUAACAAAUGGUUUCUAAUAGAAAUGAGUCUACCUAAAUGCAAAAAAGGGACAACACCUUUGGUAGAGAAAUACAUCUCUAAACCCCAGUAAAUACUUUGCUAAUCUACUUUGAGAAUUCAAGCAGGCACUUGUUAUACACGGAGAUGAUUCUGACUCAUUCGUGUAUAUUUGGUUUAUGUAAACUGUAAAACAUAGAUGUCAGUAUAUUUAGAGCCAUUUUUAAGAGGAAGAAGUGGAUUUUGGAUUUCACUCGUGAAGUAAAGACUGGACCAUCUCAUUUGUACAGUAUAAGUGAAAAACAUUAUACUCUAUGUAAAAAAAAAGCAGCAUCUAUAAAGCUGUAUCACCACCACCACCUUACCUUCAAAAAUUAAGCCCCAUUGAUUUAUAAUCAAACCAAUGCUAUUAUGAAGAUCUUUAACUUUACCAGCAUUCUAUUCUUGCAUCUCAUAUAUUUUAAACAGAAUGUUGUUUUGAUCUGUGAAUAUUAAUUUUUAAGUGAAUUUAAGGUUGUGGUUGAUUUGGUACCUUAUAUUUUUGUAAGCACAUGCCUUUGAAAUAAUUCAACUGGUCCAAGAAAGCUUGACAAAGGCAGAAAAUGUCUUUCAAUGUGUGUAACAGACAAAAGUGAGUUAUUUUGGAAGACUGUAACAGCUUUACAUUUGUCUCUCACUCAAAACUUCAAUAGCUAUAGAGACUUCUUUGAAGACUGUAAAAAAAACAAGGAUGCCCCUAUAUAAGGCAACUUCUGGAUCAUCUGUCUUUUUGGGCAUAAGCCUUUCUUUGGGGGAUUUAAUAGUGAAGCUACUAUAGAAUAUUUCACAUUUCCUUUCUUGUGGCUCAAGGUGAAUUCAAUUACUUUGAUAAAAUGGUUAAUAAUGAUAAGUCAUUCUAGUUGAAUUAAGUUUAAUUACUUGGAUUUUUAUACCAACACCAUCACAAAUACUAAGUAUAAGAGAAAAAAUUAUGCUAAUCUUGAAUUUUAGCCCACCCGUCUCUUGAAAAUCAAAAUCUCUACUCUGGUUCAAAUUUUAUUCUUAUAGUAGCUGUGAAUGGCUUUUUCUUUUUAUAACAGUGAGGCAUCAUUUUCAUGUUAAGCUUCAUCUGGGCAAUUAGGUAUGUCUCUUGCCUCUAUCAUAUUAUAAUUGUGGAUAAUAAAUUUUACUUGACAAUGAAUCUAGAAAUGCUUAAUCAACAGUGUUGCUGCAACACCUUAAUUGCUGACAGAUUUUACAGCCUCCCUUAUCAGUUUUUCUCUCUUCUUCAUUUUGUUUUUGUUACAUGGCAAGUCAGGAUGAGUGAUGAAUGAAGGAUGUAGGUGUGAUGUCAAUAGAGUUGUAUCAAGAACUGUGAAGGUUCUGAGAUUUUACCUUACUUACAAAUUAGUAAGUUUGCCUGACAUAGUUUAAUGGAUUCUGGAAGAAAACAUAGGACUUCUGGCUCAGAGACAAAGGACAUAAGGAAUCCUGGCAUAGCAAGAAGCAUGGACAUCAACAAAAUUACAUCAGUUCUUCUAGGUCUCUGCCCAGAUGUGGUAAUCAGCCCCACAUGGAUGCCUUCCCACAUACAGGAAAAUAAACUUGAUCUUAGGGAACCUGAAUGUUUUAUAAUGGGUAGUCAGUUUGAGUGUCUUUUGCCCUAGGAGAUCUCAUCUUUUUUAAAAAAAAUAUAUUCUUAGUUGUAGUUGGACACAAUAAUUUUAUUUAUUUAUAUUUAUGUGGUACUGAGUAUUAAACCCAGAGCCUGGCACAUGCUGGGUGAGUGCUCUACUGCUGAGCCAUAACCCCAUGCCCAAGGCAUGUUACUAGCCUUGUGCUCCAGAGGGAAACAUUGUUUCUAUAUUCCAAGGGCACUCCCUAUUAGAAUAUCCUUAAAAAUAGAAUCCCAAAUAAAGAAAGUUAGUGCUUCUGCUUGGCAGAUAUGCAGAACAUAAGAGACAUCUGGAGAAUUCUCUCCUAAGAAGUUGUAGAGACAACUUUAUGGUAAUCAUAGGCUACAGUGUGUGUUCAAAAAGAUAAAAGGAGAUUGAGAUAGCUUGGGUACAACAGGAUUUGGGAAUAGAGAUGAAGACAGUUUCCUAUUAAUAGCCUUUCCUAUUAAUAGCUGCUCAUUACAAGGAAAGGAGCCUAUAAUCCUAGCAACUCCUGAGGCAGGAAGAUUGUGAGUUCAAAGCCAGCCUCAACAAAAAAAGCAAAGUGCAAAGUAACUCAGUGAGACCCUGUCACUAAAUAAAAUACAAAAUAGGUCUAGGGAAAUGGCUCAGUGUUUGAGUGCCCCUCCUGAGUUCAAUCUCCACUACCCAAACAAAACAAACCCCCCCCCCCAAAAAAAAAGGAAAUGAAGUCAGGAGCAAGGUAGAAGAUACUUUUUGUUGGCAGCAUUAACAUCUCCUUUUUCAUCCCUAUCAAGCUUUACAUUCAGAUUUUUAUUCCUAGCUACUCCUGAUGGGAAAUAGGUACACACACACUGUAUGAAAUCCAAUAAGUAUAGUUGGAACAAAUUAUGUAUAUAAAUUUAAUCAAGGAAUCCCAGAAAUAUUUGAUUAUGCUGCCUUUAAGGACACAUAUAUAAAUACAGCAUUUUUCAAUUACUAGAACCAGAUGCAAAAUGUGCAACCCAAUUACUUUCAUAUUCCCUAUUACAGAAAUGUUAUGAACUUUAAUGAAGAAAUUAUUCAUAAAGAUUAUUGUUAAAAUGAAUGUUUAUUCAUGUUAUGAGGAAGGUUAACUCCAUCUGAUGGUAGCAUCAGGUCUGAAAAGAACUGGGAAUGGGAAAAAUCACUAAGAUUUAGAGUAUAAUCACAGCAGCUCAGGAGGACCUCACUUAACAUGGGAAUUGGCUUUUUCCUUCUAAGUUAAAAAAAAACAAACCUCUGGGGACCCUGCAUCAAAUAAUCUUUUUAUAUUAGAUUUUGUAUUACACGAAUCUUGAAAAUUAAACUUUAUGAUGAAAUAAUUACAGACACAAAUGCAUUUGUAAGACAUACUGUUGAGAAAUCUAGUGUACCUUUGCUCAUUUUUCUAAAUAGAUGCAUCAUGAAAAAUUAUAGCACAAGAUCAUAACCAGGAUAUCGACAGGAUCACUGUCAAGGUACACAACACUUUUAUCACUGCAAGGAUCCUUCACGUUGCCUUUUAUAGCCUCACCCUCUUCCCUAUCACAUCUAGUUUGACUCCUAGCAAGUACUAAUGUGUUCUUUAUUUCUGUAAUGUUGUCUCAAGAAUAUUAUAUAGAUGGAAUGAUAUUGUAUGUAACUUUUGGAUUUUUCAUUUAGCAUAAUCCCUUGGAGAUUCAUUCAGUUUAUUUGUAGGUAUAAAUAUAUAUUGGAUGAUAUAGAUAUACUAUAGUUUCUUUAACUAUUAACCUAUUGAAGUACAUUUGAGCUGUUUCUAUUGUUCAGCUGUUACAAAGUUGCUUUUGGACUUUUGUGUAAACAUAAACUUUUUAUUUCUCUAGAACAAAUGCCACAAGUAUAAUUGUUGGAUCAUACAGUGGCAGCAUGUUAAUUAUCUUAAGAAACUACCAAGCUGUCUUUUAGACAGUCUAUAAAAUCUUGCAUCCCCAUCAGCAAUUAUGAGUAAUUCUCUUUUUCUUAAUCCCUAUAACCAUUUGGCUACAAGUUAUUAUAGACAUAUAAUAAUCCCUCAUUGUGGUUUUAAUUUAUAUUUAUCUAAUGGGUAACAAUUUGAUUAUCUGUUAUAUGCUUCUUUGCCAUAUCCUCUUUGAUGAAAUGCCUUUGUUUUUAGGCCAUACUCCAAAUGGAUUUUUAUGAAACUAUUGAUUUUGAGAGUUCUUAGGUAUUAGUCCUUUGUAAGAUAUAUCAUUUACUUAUAUUUUAUCCAUGGCUGUGGAUUCUCUCUCCAACUAUUUAACAAUCUUUAUAGAGUAUCAUUAAAAAAAUUAAUAGUAGGAAUUGAAUCUAGGGGUGCUUAACCACUGAGCCACAUUCCUAACCUGUUUUUAUUUUGAGGCAGGGCCUUGCUAAGUUGUUUAGGGCUGACAUUCAACUUUAGAUUCUCUUGCCUCAGUCUCCUGAGCUGCUGUGAUUAUAGGUGUGAAAUACAACUUGGCUUAGUUUUUAAUUUUGAUAAAUCCCAGUUUAUCAUUUUCAUGAAUCGUGCUUUGGUGUUAAGUCUAAGAACCAUUUUCCUGGAUCUAGGUAAAGAUCAUUCCUAUGUGGUUUUUCUUCCUAAAGGUUAUAUAGUUUUUGUUUUAUAUUUAAGUUUGAUUCAUUUUGGAAUAAUUUCCAUAGAAUACAUAAGGUAAAUUAGCUUCAUAAAAUUAAUUGGAAAGUAUUAUAUCAUCUUCUAUUUUAUGGCAAAUGUUACAUAGAAUUGCUGUUAAUUUUUUCUUUGAACAUUUUGUAGAGUUCUCCAUUGAAACCAUCUAAUCUUGGAGAUUCUUUUGGGAGGGAAUCUUAAAACUAUAUAUUCAAUUGCAUUGGUAUGUAUUGGGCUUUUCAAAUAAUUGUUUCAUUUUGGAUGAGUUGUAAUGAUUUGUGUUUUUUUCUUUUUAUAAUAUAUAUUUUUUAGUUUUAGGUGGACACAAUAUCUUUAUUUUACAUUUAUGUGGUGCUGAGGAUCAAACCCAGUGCCGCAGUCUAGCUGGGCAAAAUAAGCGGGAGGUGACAAGCAACUUGCAGGUUGAAGCGGGAACUGCUUUAUUGCGAAAGAACUCAGCGGGAACUCAAGGUAGCGGGCACCCAAGGUAGCAGGAGCCGCUUUAUUGCUGGUCAGCAGAGGUAUAUAUACACCUAACUGAUUACACACAGCUUGACUCAAUUAGCAUCAUCCAGAUACAGUAAUCAGCCAGUAAGGAAUCCCUACCAUCUAAAUGGCUCAGUGGCAUUGCCUCAUAAAACACUCCUCCUGGCAAACUUCCAGGCGCCAUCUUGACUUGGUUGUGGCCUCCAAUAACCCAGUACCUCAUGCAUGCUAGGCAGUCACUCUACCACUGAGCCACAACCCCAGCCCAAUGAUUUGUGUUUUUCAAGGAAUUUAUCUUGUUGCUUAGGUAUUGCUGAGUCUUUCUGGCUGUGAUGGUUGUCCAGUUAUUCCACUAAUUUUUGAGAGAGGACUUUGUAGUUGUUGAUUUUUCUUUCUUUUUUGAUUUUAAAUUUUUUUAGUUAUUCUAAUUUGUUAUAGUUGAGAGCAGAAUGCAUUUCAAUUCAUAGUACACAUAUAGAGCACAAUUUUUCAUGUCUCUGGUUGUACACAAUGUAGAGUCACACCAUUCGUGUCUUCAUACAUGUACUUAGGGUAAUAAUGUCCAUCUCAUUCCACCACAUUUCCUACCCCCAUGUCCCCUCCUUUCCCCUUUCUCCCCUUUGCCCUUUCUAAAGUUCCUCCAUUCCUCCCAUUCCUUCCCUCCAUCCCCAUUAUUGAUCAGCAUCCACAUAUCAGAGAAAACAUUUGGCCUUUGGUUUUGGGGGGAUUGGCUUACUUCAUGUAGCAUAAUAUUCUCCAAUUCCAUCCAUUUAACUACAGUUGCCAUGAUUUUAUUCUCUUUUAAUGCUGAGUAAUAUUCCAUUUUGUGUAUAUGCCACAUUUUUAAAAAUCUAUUCAUCUAUUGAAGGCCAUCUAGGUUGGUUCCAUAGUUUAGCUAUUGUGAAUUGUGCUGCUAUAAACAUUGAUAUGGCUGAUUCCCUGUAGUAUGCUGUUUUUAAGUCCUUUGGGUAUAGACCGAGGAGUGGGAUAGCUGGGUCAAAUGGUGGUUCUAUUCCCAGUUUUUCAAGGAAUCGCCAUACUGCUUUCCGUAUUGGCUGCACCAUUUUGCAGUUCCACCAGCAAUGUGAGUGUGCCUUUUUCCCCACAUCCUCACCAACACUUAUUGUUGUUUAUAUUCUUAAUAGCUGCCAUUCUGACUGAGAUGAAAUCUUAGUUUACAUUUGCAUUUCUCUAAUUAAUAGAGAUGUUGAACAUUUUUUCAUAUAUUUGUUGAUUGAUUGUGUAUCUUAUUCUGAGAAGUAUCUGUUCAGUUCCUUGGCCCAUUUAUUGAUUGGGUUUUUAUUUAUUUAUUUAUUUAUUUAUUUAUUUAUUUAUUUAUUUAUUUAUUUAUUUUUGUGUUAAUUUUUUUGAGUUCUUUAUAUAUCCUAGAGAUUAGUGCUCUUUCGGAUAUGCAUGUGGUAAAAUUUUGCUCCUAUUCUGUAGGCUCUCUCUUUGAUUUAUUAAUUGUUUAUUUUGAUGAAAAACUUUUCAGUUUGAACCCAUCCCAUUUAUUGAUUCUUGAUUUCAUUUCUUGCACUAUAGGUGUCUGUUGGGGCCUAAUCCGACAUGAGGAAUAUUUAGGCCUACUUUUUCUUCUAUUAGGCAUAGGGUCUCUGGUUUAAUUCAUGGGUCCUUGAUCCACUUUGAGUUGAGUUUUCUGCAUGGUGAGAGAUAGGGGCUUAAUUUUAUUUGGCUGCAUGUGGAUUUUCAGUUUUCUUAGCACCAUUUGUUGAGAGGCUAUCUUUUCUCCAGUAUAUGUUUUUGGCAGCUUUGUCUAGUAUGAGAUAACUUUAUUUAUUUGGGUUUGUCUCUGUCCUCUAUUCUGUAUAACUUGUCUACAAGUCUAUUUUGGUGCCAAUACCAUGCCAUUUUUGUUACUAUUGCUCUGUAGUAUAGUUAAGGUCUGGUAUAGUGAUGCCACCUGCUUCACUCUUCUUACUCAGAAUUGCUUUAGCUAUUUUAGGUUUCUUAUAUUUCCAAAUAAAUUUCAUGAUUGCUUUUUCUAUUUCUAUGAAGAAUGACAUUGGGAUUUUAAUAGGAAUUGCAUUAAAUCUGUAUAGUGCUUUUGGUAGUAUGGUAAUUUUGACAAUAUUAAUUCUGCCUGUCCAAGAACAAGGAAGAUAUUUCCAUCUUCUAAGGUCUUCUUUAAUUUCUUUCUUUAGUGGUCUGCAGUUUUCAUUGUAGAGGUCCUCCACCUCUUUUGUUACGUUGAUUCCCAAAGUUUUUUUUUUUUUUUUUUGAGGCUAUUGUAAAUGGGAUAGUUUUCCUAACAGAGGAUUUGUUACCAAUGUACAGAAAUGCCUUUGACUUAUGGGCAUUGAUUUUAUAACCUGUUACGUUGCUGAAUUCAUUUAUUAGUUCUAGUAGUUUUCUGGUGGAAUUUUUUGGAUCCUCUAGGUAUAGAAUCAUGUCAUCAGCAAAUAGUGAUAUUUUGAGUUAUUGUUUUCCUAUCCAUGUCCAUUUAAUUUCUUUCAACUAUCUAAUUGCUCUGGCUAGAGUUUCAAGAACUACGUUAAAUAGCAGUGGUGAAAGAGGGUAUCUCUUUCUUGAUCCAGUUUUUAGGGGGAAUGCUUUCAAUUUUUGUCCAUUUAGAAUGCUAUUGGCUUGGGGCUUAGCAAAUAUAGCUUUUACAAUGUUGAGAUAUUGUUCUGUUAUCUCUAGUUUUUCAAGUGUUCUGAAUAUGAAGGGGUGCUGUAUUUUGUUUAAUGCAUUUUCUGCAUCUAUUGAGAUGGUAAUAUGAUUUUUAUCUUUAAGUCUAUUGAUGUGAUGAAUUACAUUUAUUGAUUUCUGUAUGUUGAACCAACCUUGCAUUACUGGGAUGAACCCCACUUGAUCAUUGUGCACUAUCUUUUUGAUCUGUUUUUCUAAUCGAUUUGCCAGAAUUUUAUUGAUUUUUUUUUUUUUGCAUUUAUGUUCAUUAGAUAUAUUAAUCUGAAGUUUUCUUGCUUUGAUGUGUCUUUGUCUGGUUUUGAAAUCAAGGUGAUAUUGGCCUCAUAGAAUGAGGUUGGAAAUGUUUCUUCUUUUUCAAUUUCAUGAAAUAAUUUGAGGAGUAUUUGUAUUAGUUCUUCUUUGAGGGGCUUGUAGACUCAGCUGUGUAUCAAUCUGGUCCUUGGCUUUUCUUGGUUGGUAGGCUUCUGAUGGCAUCUUCUAUUUCAUUGCUUGAAAUUGAUCUGUUUAAAUUGUGUAUAUCAUUCUGAUUCAGUUUUGGCAAGUUAUAUGCCUCUAGAAAAUUGUCAGUGUCUUGGAUAUUUUCUAUUUUAUUACAGUACAAGUUUUCAAAAUAAUUUCUAACUAUCUUCUGUAUUUCUGUAGUGUCCUUUGUGAUAUUUUCUUUUCCAUUACCAUGUUAGUGAUUUGAGUUUUCUCUUUCCUGUUCUUCGUUAGCAUGGCUAAGGGCUUAUCAAUUUUAUUUAUUCUUUCAAAGAAUCAACUUUUUGUUUUAUCGAUUUUUUUCAAUUGUUUCUUUUCUUUCAAUGUCAUUGAUUUCAGCUGUGAUUUUAAUUAUUUUCUGUCUUCUACUGCUUUUGGUGUUGGUUUGUUCUUCUUUGUCUAGGGCUUUGAGAUCUAAUGUUAGGUCAUUUAUUUGUUGACUUUUUCUUUUUUAAGGAAUGAACUUCAUGAAAUGAACUUUCCUCUUAGUACUGCCUUCACAGUAUCACAAAGAUUACAAUAUGUAGUAUCAUUGUUCUCAUUUACCUCUAAGAACUUUUCAAUCUCCUCUUUGAUGUCUUCUGUAACCCGUUUUUCAUUCAGUAGCAUAUUAUUUAUUCUCCAGGUGUUGGAGUAAUUUCUAUUUUUUCUUUUACAAUUUAUUUCUAAUUUAAUUCCAUUAUGAUAUAAUAGAAUGCAGGGUAGAAUUAUCUCUACUUUUUUGUAUUUGCUAAGAGUUGUUUUAUGGCAUAAUAUAUGGUCUAUUUAGGGAGAGAUCUGUGUGCUGCUGAGAAGAAAAUGUAUUCACUCAUGGAUGAAUGAAAUAUUCUCUAUAUGUCUGUUUCGUGUAAGUUAUUUAUUGUGUUAAUGAGUUCUAUAGUUUCUUUGUUUAACUUUUGUUUAGAAGAUCUGCCCAGUGGUGAAAGAGGUGUUUUAAAGUCACCCUGUAUUAUUGUGUUGUGGUCUUUUUGACUCUUGAAGUUGAGAAGUUUAUUGAUGAACAAAGCUGCUCCAUUGUUUGGGGCGUAUAUAUUUAUAAUUUUUAUGUCUUGUUGAUGUAUGGUUCCCUUAAGCACUAUGAAAUGUCCUUUUUUAUCCCUUUUGAUUAACCUUGGCUUGAAUUAUACUUUAUUUGAUAUGAGGAUGGAAACCUCUGCUUUUUUUCCACAGUCCAUGUGAGUGGUAUGGUUUUUUGUUUUUUCUCCCAACCUUUCACCUUCAAUCUGUGGACGUCUUUUCCUAUGAGAUGAGUCUCUUGAAGGCAGCAUAUUGUUGGGUCUUUUUAAAAAAUCCAAUCUGCCAGUCUAUAUCUUUUGAUUGGUGAGUUAAGACCAUUAAUAUUCAGGGUGAUUAUUGAGGCAUGAUUUGUAUUCCUGGUCAUUUUUGCUUAUUUUUGGUAUUUAACUUGACUUUGUUUUUCCUUUGAUUGGAUUUUUCUUUAGUGCAAUACCUCUCAUUGCUGAUUUUCAUUGUUGUUUUUUAUUUCGUCCUCAUGGAAUAUUUUGAAGAUGUUUUGUAGUGCAGGUUUUCUAGUUGUAAAUUCUUUUAACUUUUGUUUAUCAUGGAAGGUUUUUACUCCAUCAUAAAAUCUAAAGCUUAAUUUUGCUGGAUAUAAGAUUCUUGGUUGGCAUUCAUUUUCUUUCAGAACUAUAUAUAUAUAUAUUAUUUCAGCAUCUUUCAGCUUUCAGGGUCUGGAUUGAAAAAUUUGCAGAUAUCCUAAUUGGUUUCCCCCUAUAUGUACUCUGAUUCCUUUCUCUUAUGGCUUUUAAUAUUCUCUCCUUUUUAUGUAUGCCAGGUAUUUUCAUUAUAGUGUGCCUUGUUGUAGGUCUGUUGUGGUUUUGUAUAUUUGGUGUCCUGUAAGUCUCUUAUAUUUGAUUUUCCAAUUUAUUCUUUUUGUUUGGAAAUUUUUCUGAUAUUAUUUCAUUGAAUAGAUUUUUCAUUCCUUUAGUUUGAAAUGCUAUACCUUCCUCUAUCUCAGUAAUUCUUAAAUUUGAUUUUUUUUAUAUUAUCCCAUAACACCUGCAUAUUCUGUUCAUUGUUUCUUAUCAUCUUCAUUGUGUGGUUAACUUUAUUUUCAAGAUUAUAUAUUUUGUCUCCAUUCUCUGAGGUUCUGUCUUCCAAGUUAUCUAAUCUGUAGGUGGUGUUUUCUAUUGAAUUUUAAAAAAAAAUUUUUAGAUGUUAAUGGACUUUUAUUUUAUUCAUUUAUUUAUAUUCAGUAAUGAGAAUCAAGCCCAGUGCCUCUCAUGUACUAGGCAAGCGCUCUACCACUGAGGCACAAAUCCAGUCUCUCUAUUGAGUUUUUAAUUUCAUUUAUGUUUCUUUUAUUUCAAGGACUUCUAUUUUUGUUGUUUUUUUCCAGAACCUCUCCCUCCUUAUUGAAGUAAUCUUUUUAUUCUUGUAUUUGCUUACAUAGGUUUUUAUCACAAUGACCUUUUGCUGCCUGUAUUUCCUCUCUUAUAUUAUUCUUUAACUAACAGAAUAAUUUAGUUAUGUACUUUCUGAACUCCUUCUCUGUAAUUUCUUCUGCUGUUCUGACCAUGGAUUCUUAUAAUGUAGUAUCUUGGUUUGUUUGGGACACUUUCUUCCCUUGUUUUUCAUUUUGUUCAUGUGUCUUGCCUUCUAGCACUGCAGAUCUGAGGUAUUACAGUUUUUACCCUAUAGGCUUAUAGUGUCCCUGCAGCAUUUCAAUACUUUUUUGUUAAGAGGGAGAACAAUAUUAGCAGAUACCAAUACAUACAAUAUACAGCCUUAAACCAAAUAGCUGCUAUUAAGAUGUUUAUGGUUUUGUAACAAUAUACAGAAAUGAUGAAUUCAAUUAUUAUCUAUAAUGUAAACAGUAGGUUUGCAAAAGGGUCUACAGUUUCUGAUGGUAGACAAAGAGAGAAUCAGAGGUGGGGUGUAGGAUGAGAUGUUAAGGAGGUUAGGAGUUGAGGAUAUAGAAUUAUUAGAUCUUAGGAAGCAUGAAAGAGGAAUCAAAAGAAGUUGGCUAGUAGCAGGAGAAAAGAGAAAAAGUGAUUUUGGGGAGACAAGUAAGUGGGAAGACAAUAAAGAGUACAAAAAACAAACAAACGUAAAAAUUAAGAAAAAUAAAAAAUGUAAAAGCAGGAGAUAAAAGAAUAUACAACUGUAAUACAGUAUUCAGACAUCCCAGUCCUCAGUAGCCUAAUCCAUGAAAAGUACUUGGGUUCAUAGAUGUUGGGGAUAUGAAAGCGGGAAAAGAGAGAGAGAGAGUAAAGAAAAAACAAAAAGGGAGAAAAAAAUCUUGAAGGAAGAUACAAGGAUUGUUUAUGUUGGAGUUCAUUAUCUUUCCUGCUUCCCUUCUCAUCCAAUAGGUGGGGAUGUCUGUUGUUUGCCUAUAUCUUCACCCUCAGGAUAGUGAAGGUUAUUAGGAUGGUAGGGUUGGUCUUGGGGGGUGUGGCUCCUGGAGGUGAGGUAUAGCACUUGCUGGUCCCUGAUGGGAGACUGCACCCCAAAGGUCUUCAUGUGGGCACCUGGUCUUAUCUCAUUAUAUUGCCUUUAGACCUCACAAUUCCUGUCUCUAAUAUAGUCUCUAAACUGUAUCUCACUCACCCCCUCCCUUUCUACUUUCCAAUCAGGAACCUUUCUCUCCAGAGGUCUUGUGGGCUGUGCUCUGGGGGCUGCAAACCCAUUGUGAAGAGCUGUUUAGUAUCGGGCAGUUCAGGACCAGGUUUGACAAGCUAUUGAUCAGUCUCAUAGCCACAAGCACUAUGCCACAGAUAGCGGCUGUGGGGGAGAGGGAGCAGCUGGGGACUCAGUACCUUGAUAUUGCUUUGAAGCCUCAGCUGGCAUCCCAGGCUGGGAGUUGCCCCAACCAAAGAUGGUGACAAAGUUGUCCCAAGAUGGAGGCAGCUGCUUUCAGGGUGUUGGGUCAGGUGGGGUGUUGGGUCAGGUGGGGCUGGGCAGUGGUGUUGGGUGGUGUGUUCAGAGAUGUGGCUCUGUGGUGUGCAGUGUUGUGGCUGGCAGCUAUCUCCAGACCCUGUGCAGUGUCCCCAGGUAUGGGUCAUUGCAUGUAGGGGACUAUGGAAGUGGUUGUAGUGUCCCAAGAUGCAGGUGACCAGAGGAGCCCUGCGUUGGUAGAUAGGGGUCUACACCAGAGUGAUGGCCAGAGGUCCUGCAAAUGGGCAGUGGCUGGGUGUCCUGCAUGGGAGUGGUGGCCCAGAUUCCUAUGCAGAUGGGCAGCUAGGGAUCCUGCAUGUGUGCUGAUGUUGGUGGUCUUGCUCUGGCAUGGUGGUUGGGAUUUCUGCAUGGGAGCAGCUGUCAGGUGUCCUCUAAUAACUUGCAGAGAAACAGUAUUCCCACUACUUGAAUCCCAGGUCACAGAGGGACACAGAAUGCAGCCUCCCUCUAGCCCACCAUCUUGGAUCUCCCUAGUUGUUGAUUUUUCUAUUGCUCCUUUGUGUUCCUGAAUCUUUGUUUUGCAUAUUUUGUUGAUCUAUUAUUAGAUGACUGCACAUUUAGGAUGUCAAUGUUUUCUUGGUUGAUUGACUCUUUUGUCAUUUACAUAAUGUAGUUCUCUGUCUCUGAUAAUUUUCUAUGCUUUGAAGUCUACUUUUUCAGAAAUAAUUAAGGUACACUUGAUUUUACUUGAUUUAUGCUUGUAUGAUACAUAUAUUUUCAUCCUUUACUUCCAACACUAAAGGAUGAGGCAUUUGAAGUGAGUUUCUUAUAAACAGGAUUUUAAACACCUAUGCCAAUCUCUGGCUUUUAAUUGGUACAUUUAAAAUCCGUUGUGUUUGCCCCAUGGCUGGAUAAUCAAAGGCCCCAUGCCUUUAGUUGGUAGUAGAUUUGGUACAUACUGCCAUGGUGGAAGCAAAUAGGUGAAUGCAAGCAAGUAAAACAAGUGAUUGCAAUGUCAGAGAAUGAUAUGCAGAUUUGAAUAAAAUAGAUGCUGUUUAGGAAUAUAAGUUCAAAUCAUUUAUAGACUUCUUAGUUUUUUUUCUUACUAUCUUUUGUUUUGAUUUUCAAUCUAGAAUUAAAAAGAAAUAAUGAAAAUUUCCAGGUUUCACUAUUAUGGUAGUUAGCUGUACAUGAUGAGUAAAUUAGGAGAUUGUGGAAGCAUCAGUAUUAUAACCCUAUGAUAAAAAUGUAAAGUUUAAUAGAUCUUGGGACUUCAUAAUAAUUUCCAUUGGAAUUUUUGUUGAUUAAGCAAAUUUUCAAUGGAAACUAUUUUUUAGUCCUUCUAUUUUUAUGUGAACAUUCAAGGUGAAUUCAAUAAUUCUGUAUGAAUUUUUGAUUGACUCCAACAAGCUCCUUAAAUCAACAUUUUGGUUAAACGUGAAUGAGCCUAUCUCAUUAUUUAAUAGUAUAGUUAUUCUAAAAAUUGCAGUUCUACAAAGCUUUCUUCUGACUUACUUCUUAAAAAUAUAGACCUGAACUUCACUUUUAGUAUCUUGCCUGAAGAACAGUUACGUCUCAGGCACAAAAACCUUAGACAUCUACUGUUGUUCCACUUCUAUUUCUUCCUGAGUUAUCUCAUCAAUUUCCAAGAACAUAGUGACAAUGCAUAGGUUAAUAAUUUUCAAAUUCUGUCUCUUCCUGACACAAUUCCUUUCAAACUUUCUCUAUAUUUCUGAGUAUAUUUAUCUUUCUUCUUGGAUAUAUUGCAGUGUGCUCAAAUAAAACAUAUCCCAAACUGAAUUUCUUAGCUUUCCCGUCUCACACCACUCCUCCUUGUAUGAAUUCCUUUCUUCAUAAGGAAUGGUACCACAUCUGUAGUUUCUUAAAUUGGAAAGUUCUGUGAUAUUUGUUCCUUCUUCACUACUCUACAUUCAAGUCAUCACACUUACUUAAGGUCACCUGAAAUGUCCUUAAGUCUAGUAAUCUUUUCCAAUAUUAUCUCCAAGAUUUUGUUUACUGGAAAAAACUUUUGAUCUGAUUUUCCAAUACCGGUCUGGUCUCCUCUUACAUAGCCACAUUUUCCCAUUUGAGUUACAAUUCUAAAUUGUAAUAAUACCGUCAUUGACAAUAGCAAACUCCCACGUGUAUUGUUCUGCUAAACCAUCCCUGGCCUCUCAGGGAUCAUGAAGUAAACUUUUACCUUCAGGGAUGUGCCACCCAGUUAUGUCUCCUAUCACUUUUUCCCCUGGAACUCAUCCUCUAAUUUCAGUGAACUUUCAACUAUAUCUUCUAUACAACAUAGUAUUUCUGAGUAAGCUUCUGUACAUAUCUUUCUGUAAUUUCUUCCCUUUUAAAAUAGCUGUUCAUCCUUCAAAUUAAAAAUACAAACCACUAUGAAGACUUCCACAAAUUAUUCAUCUAGACUCCAGUGGAAUUGUGCUCAUUUUUCUUUGUACAAUUUGUGGCUACAAGGACUCUUCAAUUAUAUCAUGAGUUCUUGAGGGCUGAGGUUGAGUCUUAUUUAAUACUGUUUCUCAAGCAUGCCAGUGGUGAAUACUGGAUGUUAAUAAGUGUUGUACAAUAUAAAGAAGGGUAGUCCAGGACAGGUUAAAAGGAUUAGAAUUUACCAGAGGUAAGGGGAGCAAGAAGUCUAUUUACAACAGCAAGUUGUAGUAACAACAAUUUGGAGUAAGAUAGUGCUUGCUGUUGUUGUUUAUACCAACUUAUACCUUAGUGAAUGUUUUGGUUAUUUUACUAUUAGCUAUCAUUAUCUCUCUUUCACCUAAUAAUUAGUCACAAACCUUGUAAAAUGGUGGUUUUCACUUAUGUGUUGUUGAGUUUUACAUUGGAUUAGAAAGGCAGCAAAGUUGUAUGAGUUGGCAAAUUUGUAUGAGUUCAAUAUAGUUCUAUGGUUGGUUGGUCUGUUUAUCUACCUGUCUAUCUGUCAAUCUAUCUAUCUAUCUAUAUUCAGUACUGAGAAUUAAACCCAGAGGUAAUCUACCAUUGAGCUACAUGGUCUGAACUUUUUUUUUUUUUUUUGAGGCAAAGUCUCCCUAAUUUGCCCAGGCUGCCCUCACAUUUGAGAGUCUCCUGCCUCAGCCUCCAAGUAUCUGGGAUUACAAGUAUGUGCCACUGUGCCUGACUUCUCCUAGACUCUUAAAAACCUGAGUGAACUGUAGAGAGCAGACUUUCCCUAUCCCUGGUAUCCAUGGUGAACAACAGCAUUUACGGAGACAAACUCCUAAACUUUCCAUUUGAUUCUUCUUCUACAUUUAUUUUUCCUCUUGUCAAUCUAUGUGCUUUUCUAUCAGUCUGCUCUCCUCCAGAUUGACUGAAUGACUUUUCCAUUGUAACUUUUUCUCUGCUGUGGUAUCCUCAGAGAGUAACGGCUGUAUAAUUAUCCUCUAAUUUUAUAGGGCUGUUCAAACUGUCUUUCCUAUAUAUUUCUUUUAUGGAUAGUCCAAGGACAAGGGUAACUGAAAAGCGUUAUUAAAGACUAUAGGGUUAGAGAUAAGAAUGUGGCAAAAAAUAGGAAAUAAAGGAUCAGAUCAUAAGGUGUCUACUCACAUGAUGGAAUUUAAAAUGUAGCCUCUUAAUAUUUUUGAGAUUGCAGCCUGGUCUUCCAAUGAUGGCCUGCUCGGAUUCUAACAAACUAUAACAUCGUCAAUAAUUGAAUUCAUUUUUAAUGAAUAGGUGAUAUUCUAUCUCAGAAGCACAGUAGGCAUCAGAAUUCUGAAGCAAUUUUCUUCUAGUCUGUAAUCAAGCACUGAGGUAUCUGUAAGGAAAUGGAGUCCUUAAAUGUUGGAGGCAUUCUCAGAUGGAUGCUUUGCACAUCUAAAAUACUGAGCUCCUCAUCUACCUGCUAGCACUGCUUAGAUCUUUGGUCCUCACCUAGCAGCCCAGAGAAAGCCUCACCUGUAGGCAUUCUGCCAGGCCUUUCUUAAAACCGCAGCCUGACUUUGGUCUCUCUUUAUUCUUUAACUCCAUAUAAAUCGCCAACUGAUGACAAGGUUGCUACUUAACACUGGAUAUUUUUAUUCCCUGCAUUCUAUUCUGCUAUUUAGAUGGGAACCUUGGUUACCAAAGCACAGAUAAACUUGAACUGGGAUUUUGCUGUAUUCCUUGGGACUAGAGACUUGGUUAUGCUCCUUGUUAUCCUCCACCUCUCUGUUGUGGAGCAUCUGACACAUAUUCCUGUUGUCAUUAUAUUAUUUUAACUCUGUGCAUAAGACUGUGCUGAAAAUAUUUUCCCCUAUGUGAUGGUUUUCUUUUUCACUCAGUUGGUGAUAUCUUUCUUAUUUUUUUCCUGGUUCUUUGAAUAAUUAGAUUCUGCAAAUCUUGUGGCUUUUAUCUCAGAUGGAAAGUCUUCAGAAGGACCUUCUUUGUUCACCUAAUUUAGGAUUACAUAAAUGAAGUGUUUUAAGCAAGGCCGCAGUGUGAUCAGAUUUAUGUUUAUAGGAGCCCAGUAAACAUAUUCUUGAAAAAUCUUGAAGAGUUCUUGGUUGAUUCUGGCUUAAGAUUAUAGCAGCAGAGGAGAAAAGAAGUAUAUAAAGCCUGGGUAUAUUUAAUAAAAACUAUGGGAGUUGGUGGAUUAAAUGUAAAAGAUUGAGAGCAGGGGUAGCAGUGUGUCUGUCUCUUACAUUUCUGGAUUAAUUGUUUGGGUGCUUGAUGAUGCCACUCAAAAACAAAUUCUGAUCUUCAACUUCUUGCUUAGCAUUUUUUAGUACUUCCUCAAAGCUUUCAAGAUAAAGUCUAACUCUAAAAUUAGAUGUUAAAAGUGUAUCAAGAUGUACUUCUUGUCUACAUCUUAAUCUUAUCUAUGAUCCUCAACCCACCAAAAUCCUUUCAUUUAAGACACUUCAUAUGACUUGUAGUACCUGUGCAGUCUGACCACUUAGAAGAUCUUGGUUUCCCACAUACUCCUUACGCUAUAUCCUCCAUGCCUGAUUUUUCUGCUUGGUAUAGCCUUCAUUCUCUUCUAAGCUAACACUCUUUAAAUUUUCAGGGUCAGAUCUGUUGCCCUCUCUUCAGGUACACACAGCAUGAGUCGUGUUUUUGAGGCACACAUCUACCUUUUCACACCAUAACUACUAUUUCAUUGGCUUACUUUUCCAUCAGGGUUCAAGUUCCAUAUGAUCAGGGAAUAGGUUUCAUUUGUAGGUGUAUCACUACAACUGAAUACACAGUAGGUGUACAAUAUAAUGUCUAGCUGAAUAAAUGACUAAAUGAGUUGAUGAAUAAAUUAUUUCUGAUCUAAGGGAUAGUGAAAGAUUUCACAGGAUUAUUGCAACACUUUGAAUGAGACUCCUAGUUCUCGAAGCAGGGGUAGGAUUUAGACUGGCCUUGAUCUAGUAAUAAAAACACAUGUCCUGAGUUUUUGAGUGAAUAAAUGACAAAUGGGAAUGGAAUAUUUCCAGAUAUACAGAACAGUUUGAGUAAUAGCUAAAAAGCAACCUGGUGUAGAAUAUGGCUAAUUGUGAAUAAUUCCAUUUUGGCAAAAACUUAAAGGUAUUGGGGGGUACGGUGGAAAUCCAAAGGGAGAACUCUCAUAGCAUGUUCAGAUUUUUUAUUUUGAUUGUGUUAAAUGAAGGAUUUAUAGUUCUAUCAAAAUUGUUGUUCUCUGUAAGACAUAAUUUUCUUACUUGAUGAGAUGUGAUGAUAAUAGAAUUCUAGAGUCAUUAUAAAAUCACAUGUUUAUAGCAAAGUGGUUUUUUGGUUUCUCACUUAGCAUCUUCUGGAAAGAAGAUACCUAAUGCCUUCUUAUUGCUAAAGAGACCUCUUACCUUUAGGCUAACUAUUUAAUCUUAUAUGGAGGAAACUAAUAGAGAAGGAAGAAGAGGAGUGUGGUAGUGCAUAAUUACUGGUCAGAAUGAAGCUUUGAGAUUUCAACUGGCUUAAAAAAUCAUCUGCCAUGCUUAUACAAUCACUUGUAUUAUAAAUUCUGACAGAGAUAUUGGAAACUUAUGGUAAGAGUUAACAUCCAGGGGCUCUCAAAGAAUUGUAACAGCCUAAAAUAAAAGAAAUAUUUAAUGCACUUAAAGUGGUAUUGUAAAACUAUUUGAUUAUGUGUGUUAUUAAUGUUCUUGUGUUUUAGAUAACAUGAUCAGGUCAUCAUGGAGAAUUUGGAUUUAACUGAGUGAACCUGAAAGAUGAUCCUGGAUGACUCGACCUCAUUUGUGAUUUCUUCAUGGAGUUUGACUUUGCUCUUCUGUGACAUUGCAAAUAACAGGCACAGUUGCUUCAUUCCUUUCCAAACUCAUGUCCUGUGAUCUUCAUUUGCAAGGAGAUUGUUCAAACUUCUGUUUUUGAACUUCUGAGUGACAGAAUAGAAAUCCAGAACUUGUCUCAACUUUUUUCUAGGCUUCAAGGUCUCUGGCUUAUCACAGAAACCCAGUGAAACUUCUUUGCCUUUACAUAGUGCACAAAAUCCUUGCUCUAGGAAGGGGCAAGAAGGUAGAAGGAGUAUUUUAUAAUUAUUUAAGAAUUAGGCCAUAAUCUCAUUAAAAAAUACAGCACUCUACUUUGCACUCUGUUGGGACUGGAAAUUUUCCUUUAACUGGAUGAGAAUAUUACUGAGCUCAGGGGCUAUGCUGAUUAUAUACUUCAGUAUCUGUUUAGGGUAUAGUAUUCUAUUCUUAAUUAAUUUCCUAAAUAAAUAUUUGUGAACUGAUAUUUCCCUUAAUUCACUCAUAUUUUUUGUGGUUAUUAAGAUUACUUGUUACUAGAUAUUGACUAUAAAUGUUGGUGUUGAAAGGCUGCACUAUAAUCACUUGUAAUAGUGGACCACUCUAGGCUUAUUCUAGUUUCCUAGGCAGACAACCUAGUUAGGCAUGAUUAUAUCCCUGGGCUUACUUCUAUAGAACAGACAGAGACGUUAAUUCUAAAUAAAGUAUAAUAAAGC